Molecule: unclassified non-coding RNA, 520 nt
Filed under: uncultured Glomus
Lineage: Eukaryota; Fungi; Glomeromycota; Glomeromycetes; Glomerales; Glomeraceae
Description: SSU rRNA
Rfam family: Eukaryotic small subunit ribosomal RNA
Source: RNAcentral
AGCAGCCGCGGUAAUUCCAGCUCCAAUAGCGUAUAUUAAAGUUGUUGCAGUUAAAAAGCUCGUAGUUGAAUUUCGGGAUUAAUAUGUUGGUCGUGCCUUGGUACGUACUGGCAUUAUUGAUUCCUACCUUCUGAAGAACCUCGAUGUCAUUAAUUUGGUGUCUUGGGGAAUCAGGACCGUUACUUUGAAAAAUUAGAGUGUUUAAAGCAGGCUCGCGCUUGAAUACAUUAGCAUGGAAUAAUGAAAUAGGACGUUUGAUUCUAUUUUGUUGGUUUCUAGGAUCGACGUAAUAAUUAAUAGGGAUAGUUGGGGGCAUUAGUAUUCAAUUGUCAGAGGUGAAAUUCUUGGAUUUAUUGAAGACUGACUACUGCGAAAGCAUUUGCCAAGGAUGUUUUCAUUAAUCAAGAACGAAAGUUAGGGGAUCGAAGACGAUCAGAUACCGUCGUAGUCUUAACCAUAAACUAUGCCGACUAGGGAUCGGGAUGAUGUUAAUUUUUUAAUGACUCAUUCGGCGCCUUAA